Hydra vulgaris (swiftwater hydra) is the source of this 160-nucleotide long non-coding RNA. RefSeq lists it as uncharacterized. The record is from RefSeq and is a predicted model, not a curated record. Lineage: Eukaryota; Metazoa; Cnidaria; Hydrozoa; Anthoathecata; Hydridae.
AAUGGCGAAUCAUGCAUAUUAGCGAAUCCAAAUCCUCCAGCUACUACUGAUUUGUGUACGCUGCUUGCAUGUCCAGACAACAGUCAAUGCGUGAUAACUCUAAAAAAAACUGCAAUAUGUGUAUGUGGAUGCGGUUAUUAUUUAUUUGACGGAUUAUGCC